Haliotis rubra (blacklip abalone) is the source of this 163-nucleotide long non-coding RNA. RefSeq lists it as uncharacterized. The transcript is spliced from 2 exons. The record is from RefSeq and is a predicted model, not a curated record. Lineage: Eukaryota; Metazoa; Mollusca; Gastropoda; Lepetellida; Haliotidae.
CUACACUGACAAGGUAAGGAUGUCAUCUGAGGGAUGACUCCACGCCCUGCUACACUGACAAGGUAAGGAUGUCAUCUGAGGGAGGACUCCACGCCCUGCUACAAUUGUACUCAUCCAAGAAAAGUGUGAAUGCUCAAUUAAAAUUAGAAAAACAUUAAUAAAA